GGUUUGAUCCUGGCUCAGAUUGAACGCUGGCGGGAUGUGCUUUACAUGCAAGUCGAACGGCAGCACGGACUUCGGUCUGGUGGCGAGUGGCGAACGGGUGAGUAAUGUAUCGGAACGUGCCUAGUAGCGGGGGAUAACUACGCGAAAGCGUAGCUAAUACCGCAUACGCCCUUCGGGGGAAAGCGGGGGACCUUCGGGCCUCGCACUAUUAGAGCGGCCGAUAUCGGAUUGGCUGGUUGGUGGGGUAACGGCUCACCAAGGCGACGAUCCGUAGCUGGUUUGAGAGGACGACCAGCCACACUGGGACUGAGACACGGCCCAGACUCCUACAGGGAGGCAGCAGUGGGGAAUUUUGGACAAUAGGGAAACCCUGAUCCAGCCAUCCCGCGUGUGCGAUGAAGGCCUUCGGGUUGUAAAGCACUUUUGGCAGGAAAGAAACGGCACGGGAUAAUACCCCGUGCAACUGACGGUACCUGCAAAUUAAGCACCGGCCUAACUACGUGCAGCAGCCGCGGUAAUACGUAGGGUGCAAGCGUUAAUCGGAAUUACUGGGCGUAAAGCGUGCGCAGACGGUUCGGAAAGAAAGAUGUGAAAUCCCAGAGCUUAACUUUGGAACUGCAUUUUUAACUACCGAGCUAGAGUGUGUCAGAGGAGGUGCAGAUUCCGCGUGUAGCAGUGAAAUGCGUAGAUAUGCGGAGAACACCGAUGGCGAAGGCAGCCUCCUGGGAUAACACUGACGCUCAUGCACGAAAGCGUGGGGAGCAAACAGGAUUAGAUACCCUGGUAGUCCACGCCCUAAACGAUGUCAACUAGCUGUUAGGCCUUCGGGCCUUGAUGACGCAACUAACGCGUGAAGUUGACCGCCUGGGGAGUACGGUCGCAAGAUUAAAACUCAAGGAAUUGACGGGGACCCGCACAAGCGGUGGAUGAUGUGGAUUAAUUCGAUGCAACGCGAAAAACCUUACCUACCCUUGACAUGUCUGGAAUCCCGAAGAGAUUUGGGAGUGCUCCGCAAGAGAACCGAGACACAGGUGCUGCAUGGCUGUCGUCAGCUCGUGUCGUGAGAUGUUGGGUUAAGUCCCGCAACGAGCGCAACCCUUGUCAUUAGUUGUUACGAAAGGGCACUCUAAUGAGACUGCCGGUGACAAACCGGAGGAAGGUGAGGAUGACGUCAAGUCUCAUGGCCCUUAUGGGUAGGGCUUCACACGUCAUACAAUGGUCGGGACAGAGGGUCGCCAACCCGCGGGGAGCCAAUCCCGAAACCCGAUCGUAGUCCGGAUCGCAGUCUGCAACUCGACUGCGUGAAGUCAGAAUCGCUAUUAAUCGCGGAUCAGCAUGUCGCGGUGAAUACGUUCCCAGGUCUUGUACACACCGCCCGUCACACCAUGGGAGUGGGUUUUACCAGAAGUAGUUAGCCUAACCGUAAGGAGGGCGAUUACCACGGUAGGAUUCAUGACUGGGGGUGAAGUCGUAACAAGGAAGCCAA
This 1486-nucleotide ribosomal RNA is filed under the name uncultured Bordetella sp. RNAcentral describes it as "partial 16S-23S ribosomal RNA intergenic spacer". It matches the Rfam family "Bacterial small subunit ribosomal RNA". Lineage: Bacteria; Pseudomonadati; Pseudomonadota; Betaproteobacteria; Burkholderiales; Alcaligenaceae. The record is from RNAcentral.